This 612-nucleotide long non-coding RNA is filed under the name Lactuca sativa (garden lettuce). RNAcentral describes it as "long non-coding RNA (LSAT_LNC009411)". The record is from RNAcentral. Lineage: Eukaryota; Viridiplantae; Streptophyta; Magnoliopsida; Asterales; Asteraceae.
UGAGAUGGAUCGAGACCAGUGUUGCCGGGUGGAACAACCACAUCCACCGGAGCCACCAGUCCAACACGAGCAGGAGCUCCGACCUUGUACUUCGCAACCUCUUCACUGACUUCCUUCAAGUCACCUUUUGUGAAGAUCAGACCGACAUUUCCCUAACAUUGUGAAUACGAAGAUAUAAGUUACAAGUGAAUCGAUAACAUUUCCCUAAAAUCAAAGAACAAUUGAUAUCGAUUGGAGCAAUGGACAAUAUAAGCAUUUAGAAACGGAUUAUUUUGGGAGAAGAACGUUCAUUAAUUAUGUAAAUCGGAAACAUAAUUUCGAGAAAUAUACAAUCGUUUUUUACAGAGAUUAAUCAGUACUGAAACAGUCUAAUUAGGUUUUAUUUACAGAAUUUGUUAACUAAACAGAUAGUUUAAUCACAAUUAACAAUACAGAAGUAGAAAUCGAGACAAGUGAGGUUCAACUUACAAUAAGGAGAGGGAUGAGAUUGAGGUAGGCCUUGUUUCCGGUUUUCUCGGAAUGCAUCCUGAUUGAACGCUUCAUCAUGGUAUUCUUCCCCAUCAGGAUAACAGAAUCCCCUCGAAGACCAUGACGAAUGUUCUGAAGUUGCUU